Molecule: non-coding RNA, 594 nt
Organism: Oryza sativa Japonica Group (Japanese rice)
Lineage: Eukaryota; Viridiplantae; Streptophyta; Magnoliopsida; Poales; Poaceae
Source: RefSeq, a predicted model, not a curated record
GCUGAUGGUGCUGCUGCUGCUGACACUGCUCAUGCUGCUGACGCUGCUGCUGUCCGAAUUCCUCUUGCUCCUGCUGUACACAGCCACCUUGUGCUCCCUGUCAGCCAGAUCAAGCAGCUGCUUCAGGUCAAGGACCUCAUGGCUGAUUCUGCUCAAGUCGUCGCCGUCAGGUUAGAGCAUGAACACAAAACACAAGCUUAUGCACAGUUGGUGACUUGGUAGUUUGGCACUUUGGCCACCGGAUCCAUUCCAUUCCUCCAAUCCAACGAAGCACCGGUGGCCAUGGUGUUAAUGGUGUAUUUGGUGUCCGUGAGCUGUAGGCGCGGCGCUAUGUGUACAGGUGGCAAGAGCCUCUCUGUACAGCCAGACGGUGGGGCCCACCUGUCAGCGAGAGAAGCUAGCGAGAGAAAUGGAGAGUAGUAGAGCCAAGCCAAGUGAGUCGGUCGGUCGGUUAGGUGGUUGGUCGGGGUCCGGGUGGUUGACGGGUUGAUUCGAUUCGACCCGAGAUGCGUACGUCUCGGCUGCAUCUACGGCCGCUCGUACUCACUCCGUAUUUUGCACGUAUAUAUAUAUAUUCUGAUUUUUUUCUGCAAA